Molecule: long non-coding RNA, 594 nt
Organism: Biomphalaria glabrata
Lineage: Eukaryota; Metazoa; Mollusca; Gastropoda; Planorbidae
Exons: 4
Source: RefSeq, a predicted model, not a curated record
GCGGUUCAGCAAUAAAAAUAGUCAUACAUUAGUAAAGGCCUUAUUAGUUUAGUAAGUAAUGAAGUGAUCUAGAGUCAUUUAGUAAUCUAAACUUCUUAUGUUAUGAUAUUGCUUCAUUGCAAUUCUCAUAUAUAUAUUAUAUAUAAUUUGGACACCAAGAAGUAAAAGAAAGAUCACUCUUGUAUUUCUGCAAGUCCAUUACAGUUAGCCCACAAAGCGGAGGGAGAACAAGUAGUAUUUGAUUUCACACCAUGAAGUUCAUUACGAGUAUAUUUCUCCUUGUGAUAAUGUCUCCUGCAAACGAAGGUGUAUUUAAGCAGUUCCCGAAUAUUAUUAUUAAACCCUACAAUCAACAAGACAGUGAAACGUAUUGUUCAGAAGGACUAAUCAGUGGUCAGGAUACGCUAGUCAUGAAGGCUUCCGUCAUCUUUCAUCGGAUACCGAAUGACUGGGCACAUUAUUUGAAACUGUUAAUAGUAACAGCCACUGAAACCUUAGUACGUUUAUACAUUAAAAUGAAUACUUUUCUUAAUAUACAUACUAUAGUUUAUCAUAGUUAAUUGGCUAGCACAACAAUCGACUACCAUUAUACUC